ACUGCUCAGUAACACGUGGCCAAACUACCCUGCAGAGGAGCAUAAUCUCGGGAAACUGAGGCUAAUACUCCAUACCGCACUCACGUUGGAACGACCGAGUGCACCAAACGCUCCGGCGCUGCAGGAUGUGGCUGCGGCCGAUUAGGUAGACGGUGGGGUAACGGCCCACCGUGCCGAUAAUCGGUACGGGUUGUGAGAGCAAGAGCCCGGAGACAGAAUCUGAGACAAGAUUCCGGGCCCUACGGGGCGCAGCAGGCGCGAAACCUUUACACUGCACGACAGUGCGAUAAGGGGACCCCAAGUGCGAGGGCAUACAGUCCUCGCUUUUGUGUACCGUAAGGUGGUACACGAAUAAGAGCUGGGCAAGACCGGUGCCAGCCGCCGCGGUAAUACCGGCAGCUCAAGUGAUGACCGAUUUUAUUGGGCCUAAAGCGUCCGUAGCUGGCCGCGUAGGUUCGUCGGGAAAUCCAUCCGCUCAACGGAUGGGCGUCCGGCGAAAACCACGUGGCUUGGGACCGGAAGGCUCGAGGGGUACGUCCGGGGUAGGAGUGAAAUCCCGUAAUCCUGGACGGACCGCCGAUGGCGAAAGCACCUCGAGAAGACGGAUCCGACAGUGAGGGACGAAAGCUGGGGUCUCGAACCGGAUUAGAUACCCGGGUAGUCCCAGCCGUAAACAAUGCCUAUUAGGUGUGGCACCGACUACGAGUCGGUGCUGUGCCGUAGGGAAGCCGAUAAAUUGGCCGCCUGGGAAGUACGUCCGCAAGGAUGAAACUUAAAGGAAUUGGCGGGGGGA
RNAcentral lists this ribosomal RNA (793 nucleotides) under uncultured archaeon. RNAcentral's name for it is "bacterial SSU rRNA". It matches the Rfam family "Archaeal small subunit ribosomal RNA", at positions 85 to 876 of the family's 1478-position model. The record is from RNAcentral.